Molecule: ribosomal RNA, 462 nt
Filed under: uncultured bacterium
Lineage: Bacteria
Description: partial 16S ribosomal RNA
Rfam family: Bacterial small subunit ribosomal RNA
Source: RNAcentral
UAGGGAAUCUUCCACAAUGGACGCAAGUCUGAUGGAGCAACGCCGCGUGAGUGAAGAAGGCUUUCGGGUCGUAAAACUCUGUUAUUGAAGAAGAACGUGCGUGACAGUAACUGGUCAUGCAGUGACGGUAUUCAAUCAGAAAGUCACGGCUAACUACGUGCCAGCAGCCGCGGUAAUACGUAGGUGGCAAGCGUUGUCCGGAUUUAUUGGGCGUAAAGCGAGUGCAGGCGGUCUUUUAAGUCUGAUGUGAAAGCCUUCGGCUUAACCGAAGAAGGGCAUCGGAAACUGGGAGACUUGAGCGCAGAAGAGGAGAGUGGAACUCCAUGUGUAGCGGUGAAAUGCGUAGAUAUAUGGAAGAACACCAGUGGCGAAGGCGGCUCUCUGGUCUGUAACUGACGCUGAGGCUCGAAAGCGUGGGUAGCAAACAGGAUUAGAUACCCUGGUAGUCCACGCCGUAAACGA